CCAGCUCUCUUUGCCAAUUUGGCUUAGAUCAAGUGUAGUAUCUGUUCUUUUCAGUGUAAAAACUGGAACGGUCCUACGUGGACCUUCUUUUUUUAUACUCAUUUUUGCUUAUCCCGGGUCUCGACCGCUGGCUCGCUAUGUCCUGACCCACCGUGUCGCUGGUAUUGCACUGUUUCCAGUUUGAUGCGAAGGCUA
This 195-nucleotide small nuclear RNA is filed under the name Tuber melanosporum Mel28. RNAcentral describes it as "U2 spliceosomal RNA". It matches the Rfam family "U2 spliceosomal RNA". From Rfam's summary of the family: U2 is a small nuclear RNA (snRNA) component of the spliceosome (involved in pre-mRNA splicing). Complementary binding between U2 snRNA (in an area lying towards the 5' end but 3' to hairpin I) and the branchpoint sequence (BPS) of the intron results the bulging out of an unpaired adenosine, on the BPS, which initiates a nucleophilic attack at the intronic 5' splice site, thus starting the first of two transesterification reactions that mediate splicing. The record is from Rfam by way of RNAcentral. Lineage: Eukaryota; Fungi; Ascomycota; Pezizomycetes; Pezizales; Tuberaceae.